Molecule: ribosomal RNA, 403 nt
Filed under: uncultured bacterium
Lineage: Bacteria
Description: bacterial SSU rRNA
Rfam family: Bacterial small subunit ribosomal RNA
Source: RNAcentral
UGCAAGUCGAGCGCCGUAGCAAUACGGAGCGGCAGACGGGAGAGUAACACGUGGGAACGUACCCUUCAGUUCGGAACAACCCAGGGAAACUUGGGCUGAUACCGGAUACGUCCGUAAGGAGAAAGAUUUAUCGCUGAAGGAUCGGCCCGCGUCUGAUUAGCUUGUUGGUGAGGUAACGGCUCACCAAGGCGACGAUCAGUAGCUGGUCUGAGAGGAUGAUCAGCCUCACUGGGACUGAGACACGGCCCAGACUCCUACGGGAGGCAGCAGUGGGGAAUAUUGGGACAUGGGCGCAAGCCUGAUCCAGCCAUGCCGCGUGGGUGAUGAAGCCCUNAGGGUGUAAAGCCCUUUCGGCGGGGAAGAAUAUGACGGUACCCGCAAAAGAAGCCCCGGCUACCUCGUG